This 702-nucleotide ribosomal RNA is filed under the name Triticum aestivum (bread wheat). Its description in RNAcentral is "partial small subunit ribosomal RNA". Lineage: Eukaryota; Viridiplantae; Streptophyta; Magnoliopsida; Poales; Poaceae. The record is from RNAcentral.
AUGGAUCACAGCCUCCGAAUCAUUAACUGGAACGUCCGCGGCCUAAACACCCGCGCCAGGCGUACUGCCAUCCGCUCACUUGUUGUAGCCUCCAGCGCUACGAUCGCUUGCUUCCAGGGAAUAAAGAUGGAGUUUAUCUACUCGUCAACGAUCCUCGAGAUGUUGGGGUCAGAGUUUGACGACUACGUCUACCUCCCUGCGAGCGGCACCCAUGGCGGGAUCUUGUUGGCUUGGAAGAGCCGGGAUGUGUCGAUCACGGACACGAUGUUCACCACCAACACUCUCUCCGCCCGGUUGGCGACUCCCGAUGGCUCCAGCGCGCCCUGUUGGCUCACCAUUUUCUACGGGCCCCAAGAUGACCAUGGCAAGAUUGCGUUCCUUCAGGAAAUCCGCGACAUGCGUGCCGCCUGCUCCGGACCAUGGCUCGUCUACGGCGACUUCAACCUAAUCUACCGCGAUGAGGAUAAGAACAACGACAACCUCAACAGACGCAUGAUGGGGAUUUCGGCGUGUGCUCAACAACCUCGCGCUCAAGGAGGUCUACCUCAAAGGCCGGCGCUAUACUUGGUCGAACGAGCAGAACCCGCCUACCUUGGUCCAUCUCGAUCGGGUGAUGUGCUCCGCGGACUGGGAGGAGCUACACGACGAAUGCCACCUACGCUGUUUGGCCACGGUUGUCUCGGACCACUCCCUCAUGCUUGA